RNAcentral lists this ribosomal RNA (407 nucleotides) under Verrucomicrobiota bacterium. RNAcentral describes it as "Verrucomicrobia bacterium partial 16S ribosomal RNA". It matches the Rfam family "Bacterial small subunit ribosomal RNA", at positions 355 to 776 of the family's 1533-position model. Lineage: Bacteria; Pseudomonadati; Verrucomicrobiota. The record is from RNAcentral.
UGGGGAAUAUUGGACAAUGGAGGGAACUCUGAUCCAGCAAUUCUGUGUGUGUGAAGAAGGUUUUAGGACUGUAAAACACUUUUAGUAGGGAAGAAAAAAAUGACGGUACCUACAGAAGAAGCAACGGCUAAAUACGUGCCAGCAGCCGCGGUAAUACGUAUGUUGCGAGCGUUAUCCGGAAUUAUUGGGCUUAAAGGGCAUCUAGGCAGUAAGACAAGUUGAAGGUGAAAACCUGUGGCUCAACCAUAGGCUUGCCUACAAAACUGUUGAACUAGAGUACUGGAAAGGUGGGUGGAACUACACGAGUAGAGGUGAAAUUCGUAGAUAUGUGUAGGAAUGCCGAUGAUGAAGAUAACUCACUGGACAGAAACUGACGCUGAAGUGCGAAAGCUAGGGGAGCAAACAGG